Molecule: ribosomal RNA, 509 nt
Filed under: uncultured Lactococcus sp.
Lineage: Bacteria; Bacillati; Bacillota; Bacilli; Lactobacillales; Streptococcaceae
Description: partial 16S ribosomal RNA
Source: RNAcentral
CACGUAGUUAGCCGUCCCUUUCUGGUUAGAUACCGUCACACGAGGAGCUUUCCACUCUCCUCGUCGUUCUUCUCUAACAACAGAGUUUUACGAUCCGAAAACCUUCUUCACUCACGCGGCGUUGCUCGGUCAGACUGUCGUCCAUUGCCGAAGAUUCCCUACUGCUGCCUCCCGUAGGAGUUUGGGCCGUGUCUCAGUCCCAAUGUGGCCGAUCACCCUCUCAGGUCGGCUAUGUAUCAUCGCCUUGGUGAGCCUUUACCUCACCAACUAGCUAAUACAACGCGGGAUCAUCUUUGAGUGAUGCAAUUGCAUCUUUACAAACUUAAAACUUAUAGUUUAAAGCUUAAUUAUGACGGUUAUUAGCAAUUUCGUUUACCAAAAUUCGUUCGUCCCCCGACUUCCAAAAGGCAGAAUUCCCCCAAGCGUUACUCACCCGUUCGCUGCUCAUCCAAUCGUACAGUACCAAUCUUCAGCGCUCAAUUGCAUGUAUUAGGCACGCCGCCAGCGUU